Molecule: long non-coding RNA, 1668 nt
Organism: Cyanistes caeruleus (blue tit)
Lineage: Eukaryota; Metazoa; Chordata; Aves; Passeriformes; Paridae
Source: Ensembl
CCUGCUUGCCCCACCUCCCCUGGGGCAGCUGGGACCAGUUUGCACCGUUGUCCUCUAGAAUGAAAGUCAUGGAGCUUUCUUCUGGUUUGGGGGCAAGCUGAACACAGGUGAAAAGACCUCUUGGAACAAGAGUGGGAACAAGAAAUGGGUGCUCUCAGUUCAACAGGCUGACUGGUGCUUGGAAAAAAAAUAUUUCUGAAGUGCCAGUUUCAAUUGGGUUGAUUGUCUCUACAAUGAGCUUCCCAUACACUUCUGGAAGAUUUUGUUUCAGUUGGGGUUGAGCAUGGCUGUCUCUGCCUCUAGAGGUUACAAAUUUUCGUUUGAUUUAGGUGUAUUUUUCUUUGUUUGCUUUUAAUCUGUCUUUGAACAAAAGUGGAAAAAACCCACAAACAAACUCAGAGCUCCUUUUUCACUGCCCUGUCUCAGGGUUUUUAACCUGUGUGCAGAACAAGAGAAUCCUUCUUGGAUCUUCAGAAGCCCGAAGGAAAGAAAACAAAAACUUUCUGCUGUGUCAGCCACCUGAGAGGCCUCAUUCAGGGUCAUGCAACAUUGUGUGGGGAGACAGACCCUGCACCCACGACCAGAGGAAAUGGAAAUGAGUGUCCAAGUGGAAACCACAGCUCUUGUGCUGGCCUGGAGCAUCCUUCUCCUGCCUGGUGUUUGCCUCUCAGCAGAAGCCAGCAGUUCCCAGCAGCAAUCCGUGAUGCCAGGGCUGAGACAGAGCUGGUGUUACCACAGUCAGUGAACAUCCAAGGGAAAUGCUGCAGGAGCAGAAGUCCCUGGAGGCAGCUGGACAUCCCUUGGGUCAGCCUGGAGGAUCAGCACCUUGGUCCACAGGUCCUGAGGGGCUGGCUGGGAGCUGCAGGGAGCACAGGGAGGGUUUCUUGUCCCUCUCCUCCAGUGGAUGUGCAGUGGAUCCAGGGCAGCUGUGCUCAGGGCUCAGCACUUGCAGCCAGCACCUCCAGUGCCCUGCGGAUGCCCUGGAGCUGCCGUGUCCUGGGACCCCCUUUGGGGGGCUCUGGGAUCUGCUGGAGUGCUCCCAGCUCUGCUGCCUGCUCACCCCUAUCAGAAUCUUCCUUUCAUCUGCAGAGGCAAGCUGGAAGCUGCUGGAGAAAUCCAAUCAAUCGUAAAUAUAAAAUAAGUUUUGAAAAACUUUGCAGUCUUUAUGGCUUCUGCACACUUAAUGCAAUUUUAAUACAUUUCUGGUUUCCCUGUGUGGGCUGCCUGGCUAGGUUCCAGCAUGAAACAUGGAGCUUUGUAAGUAAGAACUCUGUCAUUCAGUAUUUCUUAGCACCAUUGUGAAUUGAAUUACAUAUGAUGACCUGAGAGUAAAUGCAACCAGGAUUUUCUGAUUGUUUAUUGCUUUAAAGAUGCACCUGUGGUCAGAGUUUUCCUCCUGGUUAGCGAGGUAUUGACUGUUUUUAAUGAAAAUGGUUUUUAAAAUAAUUAAAAUAUGUGAAGGAGAUGGCUGAAGUCUGAGCAGUCUGAGCACAGACUUCCCAAUCUGAGUCCUGUGUUGGCUUCUGAGCUGAGGUGAUGUGGGCUGAAGCUGCCUGCUGAGACUGUAAUGACCCAGCAGGCUGGGGACACCUUUGGCCAGAGCAGGCUGCAGCAGCAUCACUCAUGUGGGUCUCUGGCUUGCCAGCAGACCCUGUUUCUCUCAGAAAA